RNAcentral lists this long non-coding RNA (3201 nucleotides) under Homo sapiens (human). Its description in RNAcentral is "HSALNT0317035". Lineage: Eukaryota; Metazoa; Chordata; Mammalia; Primates; Hominidae. The record is from RNAcentral.
AUUUAAACAGUUUUUAUUGGGUCUAUAAACCAUUGUGGUACUCAUUCGGUCCAUAAACCUGGUGUGCACACAGGAUUACCUGAGGCUUGUAAGGGAGAAUGCCAACUAAUGGUUACUGAAUCCACCACCUGCAGAAUAACUUUGGAAAAGCAGCUUGUUCCAUCAGAGUCAAGACACGAGAACACCAUCUUUUCAUAAAGACAUGGAAUCUGAUCUGACUGGUCAUCUAAGGGCACCAGAUAUACGACUAAAAAUGUUCAUAUUCAUCACCUAAGGAAGGUCUUUCUUCUGAUUUCUUGCAUUUGAGAGAAGUGGCUGUCACAAUGACUUCUGGAGGUACUUUAGAGGUCCCUCAAGGACUGUUGAAUACAGAAGAGGAGCAGUUUCACCAACACAACUAUCUUCAUUUAUUAUUUUUUCUUCUCUCUUUUUAAAAAAAUUACAAUGAUUCAAGAGAUUUUAUUUUAAAAAUGGCUUCUGCUAACUUAAACAUGGUUUGAGCCGGGUGUGGUGGUUGACACCUGUAAUCCCAGCACUUUGGGAGGCUGAGGUGGGCAGAUCACUUGAGGUCAGGAGUUCGAGACCAGCCUGGCCAACAUGGUGAAACCCCAUCUCUACUAAAAAAUACAAAAGUUAUCUGGGCAUGGUGGCAGGUGCCUAUAAUCCCAACUACUUGGAAGGCUGAGGCAUGAGAAUCGCUUGAACCCGGGAGGUGGAGGUUGCAGAGAGCCGAGAUCACACCACUGCACUCCAGACUGGGCAACACAAUGAGAAUGCCAAAAAAUAGUUUUGAAAAUAAUAUAACUACCAUAGAUUUUGCUUUAUUUUACUAGAUGAUUUUUGUACCUGGUAGGCUAUUGAUGAACUAUGACAUUAAUAACCAAGUAUAUUAAAAAACAAACAAAUGAAAACAAAGUUAAAAUGUAAGCUUGACAUCACUGGCUAUAAAAAUUCUCCUGGAGAAGAUGAUCAGAAUUGAAGCCUUUUAACUUUUCGGUGGACUAUAGGGACAGUAGCAGGAGAUCAGCUACAUAUCCCAGAAGCAAUGUUUCUUCCAGGUCAGUAUCAUGUCAUUCACAAGUGAAAAAAUAAACACUAAAAAUAAAUAGAAGUUCUAUAACAGAGACAGGAAAGGGACUCUCCUUGCUGUCUCCUGUCUACAUGUCCUUUUAGCCUUAACACCUUCCAAAGGAAGGAGAAAAAUAGCUUUGCAGGUUUGCAAAUGUGUGUAGUUAGCAUUUUAAGAACAAAAACGGGCUGCCUCUCACAGCUGUGUUGGAAUUUGCUUCAGAUUCUGCCUUCAAAUCACAGAAGACGUGAGUAAGGGCACGUCCGUGACUCAGUCCUCAACCCUUGCCAAAGUAGUAGUUUUCUAGAUAUAAAACUACAGGGAAAGAAAAAUAGAAAGUCAGAAGAGGAAGAAAAACUGCAUGUUCAUAAAUCUUGCACAAAACUGAAUCUCGAAGGUGUGAUAAAAAGAUCAGGAUCGGGGAGUGUUUAGGAAAGAGAAACACACAUAUGUGAGGCACUACCUAACAUUUCAAUAGACACAUGGUUUUUUUUUUCAGUCAUAUUAAUUAAGUUCUGUGCACGGUGCUUGCACAUAAAUAAAACCAGAUGCUUAAAUUGUAGCUCAAUCAUUACGCUGUAUUUGCUCACAUCCCCUCCUGUACCACUUUCAAGAAAUUGGCUUUUCGCCUAAAUGGCAGGGGAGGGAAAGGGAAAAAAAGAAGAAAAAAAAGUUCUGGAGCUUUAGCCUUAUUCUCAGGUUGAUGAGUGGUUGUUGAUAUGUGACAAAUACAUUUCGCUUUCAUGACAUCUCUAUGGAAAAUUAAGAAUUGUAGUUUUCUUGAGGCAGUUGAGAUUCUUAAAGGAGUAUUUAUUCAUCAUGCUAUUAAUUUAUUGGCCUUCAUAAAAACUCUUUCAAAAUUGUCACCUAUCUAUAAAUAAGACUUAAAACCCACCCUCGGCUACAUAGAUACACACAAACACAAACACACAGAUGUAUGUGUGUGAAUUUAUAAAAUAACCUGUCAAUACAUAUGGAGAAAAUAGUUUCACGGAAUCAAAGUUAUCUGGUUCACCUCCUUUAAGUGCAUUUCCCAAUGUGAGUUCUGAAGCAUAUUUGUUCCACGACAUGUGAAAAACUGAGGGGCUUAAAUAAAUUGGGAAAUGCCGGGUUACACAAAGUUAAACAGCUUUCUUUAUUGUGGAACUUUCAGAGUCUCUAAUAUGCUGAUGCACAUUGUAAAUAUUCAAGAGGUCAACAUACUCUGUAAUAUCUCUCAAAGCUGGUUGACCCAGAAACUUGCAAAAUAUCUUACAAGGGUGGUAAUUUGCAGGACAUGCAGUGAAAAAUGCUAAUAUAAAUCAAUCUAAAAUGUUCAUCCAGUCUCUGAUUAAAUUUUCCCCAUGUGAACAAAAUUGCUACUUUCCAAAAGAGUUCAUUCUGUCCUACGAAAGAUCUAAGUCAAACGGGAUUUCUUUCUUACGCUGAACCAUAAUCUAUCUCUCUAUAACUUCCACUAUUGCUCUUGAUUUUGCACUUUGGAAGAACAAAAAGAAGAGUAAUGCAAUUCCUUUUUCCUGCAAUAGCUUUUUAGAUAUUUGAAAGCGACAAUCAUAUUCACAAACUCUUCCAUUUUGCAGGAAGACACAGCUCUAGUUCUUAAAUGAAUGCAUCAAAUUAAUCCUCUCUACUUGUCAAUGUCUUAAGACAUGGGGCUUCAAAAUGAUUACAGAAAUUCAGAUCUCUAGAAGUAUCUAUGCUUCUAUAGAUGCAGACUUAGAUGUCAGGUUUUGUUUUUUUCUGGAAGGCAUGUCUUAUCAUUGAUUCCAAUUAAUUUACUAAAACUUUCGAGUCCUCAUAAAUAUUGUGGCUAAGUCAAUUCUCUACAGUUCUAUAUCUGUAUGAUCAUUUGUUUGUGUAUAUAUGAGUUUUUUGAGGAAUAUUAGGAAAACACAAGUCCAUUAGAUUUUAUUCGUCCUUCAUGACAGAGACUGUGCUUUAUAAUAAAAUUGGUCAUCUUUUCUCAGUUACCUUCUCUUAUAAAGUUAUAAUAUCUCAGCUUCAUGCAAAUUCUAUUACAUUAGAAGAAUGAAGAGUAUUAGCCUGAAACUUACUACCUAUACUAGUGACCUCCUUCCAGCUUAAUACCAAUUCAUUACUUGAUACCAAGUAAAUUGUUUCACAAACCUACA